CCCUCUGCGCCCUCUCGCUCCCUGGCUCGGCCGCAGCAGCAGAAUGAGAACGGUUAUUAGUUAAUAGCCAUCAGAGACAGACCAAGCACAAGGUUUGUAUUUCCUGAAGGAGGCCGUCAGUGUCAAUGCUGUACUAACGACGGUACUGUAGACUUCUCAGUCCUUUAUGUGGAGCUGGGGGCAGGAAGAAUUGCUUCUGGAAGCUGAUGGAGUUGGACAUGUGGCUUUCUAGAAUCUGGAUGUGAUGGUGCAGGAAAAACUCCUGCCCAUUGAGAGGGCUCCGUAAGUGCUUCCCAAAAGAGAAUGAGAAGGAAAAGGAGAUCUCCACAGGAACUGCCUCCUUGGAUCCAGGGCAAAAAUGAACCUCCUAUUGGAGAGAAGUGCCCAGCUUGUCAAGAAGUUGAAUCGGUGCAACCAGCGUUUGUGAAAGCAGCAUUUCCCAUUUCACAUAAAGUCAGCUUCUGGCCAACUGGACAAGUCUGAACAAAUAUGAAACCCACUAAAAGGCCAGUGACAGGUGCACACACUACUGACUCUGGCUA
RNAcentral lists this long non-coding RNA (542 nucleotides) under Homo sapiens (human). Its description in RNAcentral is "HSALNT0109740". The record is from RNAcentral. Lineage: Eukaryota; Metazoa; Chordata; Mammalia; Primates; Hominidae.